RNAcentral lists this unclassified non-coding RNA (316 nucleotides) under plant metagenome. Its description in RNAcentral is "partial contains 5.8S ribosomal RNA, internal transcribed spacer 2, and large subunit ribosomal RNA". The stretch from base 1 to 105 matches the Rfam family "5.8S ribosomal RNA", at positions 50 to 154 of the family's 154-position model. The record is from RNAcentral.
GAAAUGCGAUAACUAGUGUGAAUUGCAGAAUUCCGCGAAUCAUCGAGUCUUUGAACGCACAUUGUGCCCCCUGGUAUUCCGGGGGGCAUGCCUGUCCGAGCGUCAUUGCUGCCCAUCAAGCACGGCUUGUGUGUUGGGUCGUCGUCCCCUCUCCGGGGGGGACGGGCCCCAAAGGCAGCGGCGGCACCGCGUCCGAUCCUCGAGCGUAUGGGGCUUUGUCACCCGCUCUGUAGGCCCGGCCGGCGCUUGCCGAACGCAAAUCAAUCUUUUUCCAGGUUGACCUCGGAUCAGGUAGGGAUACCCGCUGAACUUAAGC